Molecule: ribosomal RNA, 394 nt
Filed under: uncultured bacterium
Lineage: Bacteria
Description: bacterial SSU rRNA
Rfam family: Bacterial small subunit ribosomal RNA
Source: RNAcentral
CUGGGCUCGAACGGCUUCUGACCAUCUUUGGAAACAGAGACUCCCCGCAAGGGGCAGGAGUCGAGGUGCUGCAUGGCUGUCGUCAGCUCGUGUCGUGAGAUGUUGGGUUAAGUCCCGCAACGAGCGCAACCCUUGUCCUGUGUUGCUAAUCCGUAAGGAUGCACUCUCAGGAGACCGCCAGCGAUAAGUUGGAGGAAGGUGGGGAUGACGUCAAGUCAUCAUGGCCUUUAUGUCCAGGGCUACACACGUGCUACAAUGGCCGGUACAAAGCGUUGCCAACCCGCGAGGGGGAGCUAACCGCAAAAAACCGGUCUCAGUUCGGAUCGCAGGCUGCAACCCGCCUGCGUGAAGCUGGAAUCGCUAGUAAUGGCGUAUCAGAACGACGCCGUGAAUA